Molecule: ribosomal RNA, 1413 nt
Filed under: uncultured Oscillospiraceae bacterium
Lineage: Bacteria; Bacillati; Bacillota; Clostridia; Eubacteriales; Oscillospiraceae
Description: bacterial SSU rRNA
Rfam family: Bacterial small subunit ribosomal RNA
Source: RNAcentral
UAACACAUGCAAGUCGAACGGACCUAGCCCGGUAGUAAUAUUGGGCGACGGUUAGUGGCGAACGGGUGAGUAACGCGUGAGCAACCUGCCUUUCAGAGGGGGAUAACAACUGGAAACAGUUGCUAAUACCGCAUAAUGUAUUUAGAUGGCAUCAUUUGGAUACCAAAGGUUAAAUCCGCUGAGAGAUGGGCUCACGUCUGAUUAGCUAGAUGGUAGGGUAAGGGCCUACCAUGGCUGCGAUCAGUAGCCGGUCUGAGAGGAUGAACGGCCACAUUGGGACUGAGACACGGCCCAGACUCCUACGGGAGGCAGCAGUGGGGAAUAUUGGGCAAUGGGCGCAAGCCUGACCCAGCAACGCCGCGUGAAGGAAUAAGGCCUUCGGGUUGUAAACUUCUUUUAUUAGGGACGAAGGAUGUGACGGUACCUAAUGAAUAAGCCACGGCUAACUACGUGCCAGCAGCCGCGGUAUACGUAGGUGGCAAGCGUUGUCCGGAUUACUGGGUGUAAGGGCGCGUAGGCGGAUGCAGUCAGAUGUGAAAUCCAUGGGCUCAACCCAUGAACUGCAUUUGAAACUGUGUUUCUUGAGUGAUGGAGAGGCAGGCGGAAUUCCUAGUGUAGCGGUGAAAUGCGUAGAUAUUAGGAGGAACACCAGUGGCGAAGGCGGCCUGCUGGACAUCAACCGACGCUGAUGCGCGAAAGCGCGGGGAGCAAACAGGAUUAGAUACCCUGGUAGUCCGCGCCGUAACGAUGAAUACUAGGUGUGGGGGGACUGACCCCUUCCGUGCCGGAGCAAACGCAAUAAGUAUUCCACCUGGGGACUACGGUCGCAAGACUAAAACUCAAAGGAAUUGACGGGGGACCACACAAGCAGUGGAUUAUGUGGUUUAAUUCGAAGCAACGGAAGACUUACCGGGGUUGACAUCGACUAACAGAAGCAGAGAUGCAUUAGGUGCCCUUCGGGGAAGUCGAGACAGGUGGUGCAUGGUUGUCGUCAGCUCGUGUCGUGAGAUGUUGGGUUAAGUCCCGCAACGAGCGCAACCCUUGUUGUUAGUUGCUACGUAAGAGCACUCUAACGAGACUGCCGUUGACAAAACGGAGGAAGGUGGGGACGACGUCAAUCAUCAUGCCCCUUAUAUCCCGGGCUACACACGUAAUACAAUGGCGUUUAACAACGGGAAGCGAAGGAGCGAUCCGGAGCGAAUCCCCAAAAGGCGUCUCAGUUCGGAUUGCAGGCUGCAACUCGCCUGCAUGAAGUAGGAGUUGCUAGUAAUCGCGGAUCAGCAUGCCGCGGUGAAUACGUUCCCGGGCCUUGUACACACCGCCCGUCACACCAUGAGAGUCGGGAACACCCGAAGUCGGUAGUCUAACCUGAUAAGGAGGGCGCCGCCGAAGGUGGGCUUGAUAAUUAGGGUG